Molecule: ribosomal RNA, 1458 nt
Filed under: Lactiplantibacillus plantarum
Lineage: Bacteria; Bacillati; Bacillota; Bacilli; Lactobacillales; Lactobacillaceae
Description: bacterial SSU rRNA
Rfam family: Bacterial small subunit ribosomal RNA
Source: RNAcentral
AAUACAUGCAAGUCGAACGAACUCUGGUAUUGAUUGGUGCUUGCAUCAUGAUUUACAUUUGAGUGAGUGGCGAACUGGUGAGUAACACGUGGGAAACCUGCCCAGAAGCGGGGGAUAACACCUGGAAACAGAUGCUAAUACCGCAUAACAACUUGGACCGCAUGGUCCGAGUUUGAAAGAUGGCUUCGGCUAUCACUUUUGGAUGGUCCCGCGGCGUAUUAGCUAGAUGGUGGGGUAACGGCUCACCAUGGCAAUGAUACGUAGCCGACCUGAGAGGGUAAUCGGCCACAUUGGGACUGAGACACGGCCCAAACUCCUACGGGAGGCAGCAGUAGGGAAUCUUCCACAAUGGACGAAAGUCUGAUGGAGCAACGCCGCGUGAGUGAAGAAGGGUUUCGGCUCGUAAAACUCUGUUGUUAAAGAAGAACAUAUCUGAGAGUAACUGUUCAGGUAUUGACGGUAUUUAACCAGAAAGCCACGGCUAACUACGUGCCAGCAGCCGCGGUAAUACGUAGGUGGCAAGCGUUGUCCGGAUUUAUUGGGCGUAAAGCGAGCGCAGGCGGUUUUUUAAGUCUGAUGUGAAAGCCUUCGGCUCAACCGAAGAAGUGCAUCGGAAACUGGGAAACUUGAGUGCAGAAGAGGACAGUGGAACUCCAUGUGUAGCGGUGAAAUGCGUAGAUAUAUGGAAGAACACCAGUGGCGAAGGCGGCUGUCUGGUCUGUAACUGACGCUGAGGCUCGAAAGUAUGGGUAGCAAACAGGAUUAGAUACCCUGGUAGUCCAUACCGUAAACGAUGAAUGCUAAGUGUUGGAGGGUUUCCGCCCUUCAGUGCUGCAGCUAACGCAUUAAGCAUUCCGCCUGGGGAGUACGGCCGCAAGGCUGAAACUCAAAGGAAUUGACGGGGGCCCGCACAAGCGGUGGAGCAUGUGGUUUAAUUCGAAGCUACGCGAAGAACCUUACCAGGUCUUGACAUACUAUGCAAAUCUAAGAGAUUAGACGUUCCCUUCGGGGACAUGGAUACAGGUGGUGCAUGGUUGUCGUCAGCUCGUGUCGUGAGAUGUUGGGUUAAGUCCCGCAACGAGCGCAACCCUUAUUAUCAGUUGCCAGCAUUAAGUUGGGCACUCUGGUGAGACUGCCGGUGACAAACCGGAGGAAGGUGGGGAUGACGUCAAAUCAUCAUGCCCCUUAUGACCUGGGCUACACACGUGCUACAAUGGAUGGUACAACGAGUUGCGAACUCGCGAGAGUAAGCUAAUCUCUUAAAGCCAUUCUCAGUUCGGAUUGUAGGCUGCAACUCGCCUACAUGAAGUCGGAAUCGCUAGUAAUCGCGGAUCAGCAUGCCGCGGUGAAUACGUUCCCGGGCCUUGUACACACCGCCCGUCACACCAUGAGAGUUUGUAACACCCAAAGUCGGUGGGGUAACCUUUUAGGAACCAGCCGCCUAAGGUGGGACAGAUG